RNAcentral lists this long non-coding RNA (356 nucleotides) under Olea europaea (common olive). RNAcentral's name for it is "long non-coding RNA (OEUR_LNC014693)". The record is from RNAcentral. Lineage: Eukaryota; Viridiplantae; Streptophyta; Magnoliopsida; Lamiales; Oleaceae.
GGUGAUGUCGUGGAACUACUUGUAAGCAUAUGAGAUCGUCUUCUGAGCAAUCGUGCGGCUGACCCUGAAAAAAUAAGAACAUAAUCUUUAGUUACAAGAAGUAUACAUGUGUUAGCGUCUGCGUACUAUACUAAUUCUAUAAAAUACAAAACUUACCCGGGCCUUAUUGCUCUCCACUCCGUCUUGAAGGCUUUCCACUUGAUGUGGUCCACCUCGCUAAAUAAAUUCGGGUGCGUUCCGUCGACGAACCUUCUCCUCUUCGCCUCUGCGGUAAAGGAAGAAACGACAUACUGUGAUGGCACCCUCGGCUUCUUGCAGACCACCCGCUCUGGCACGUCAACAGCACGCGUCCUCUC